This is a ribosomal RNA of Thermobaculum terrenum ATCC BAA-798, 114 nucleotides long. Lineage: Bacteria; Bacillati; Chloroflexota; Chloroflexia; Thermobaculales (SeqCode); Thermobaculaceae (SeqCode). The record is from Rfam.
GAGCGUGGCUCAAGCGGAGGGGAACCACCCGGCCCCAUCCCGAACCCGGUAGUGAAACCCUCCAGCACCAAUGAUACUGGCUCUCCCAGCCGGAAAAGUAGGCCGCCGCGCUCC